Molecule: non-coding RNA, 499 nt
Filed under: uncultured Glomus
Lineage: Eukaryota; Fungi; Glomeromycota; Glomeromycetes; Glomerales; Glomeraceae
Also listed under: 1 other name
Description: SSU rRNA
Rfam family: Eukaryotic small subunit ribosomal RNA
Source: RNAcentral
CCAAUAGCGUAUAUUAAAGUUGUUGCAGUUAAAAAGCUCGUAGUUGAAUUUCGGGAUCAAAUUGUCGGUCGUGCCUCGGUACGUACUGGCGUUAUUGGUUCCUCCCUUCUGAAGAACCGCGAUGUCAUUAAUUUGGUGUCGCGGGGAAUCAGGACUGUUACUUUGAAAAAAUUAGAGUGUUUAAAGCAGGCUCGCGCUUGAAUACAUUAGCAUGGAAUAAUGAAAUAGGACGUUUGAUUCUAUUUUGUUGGUUUCUAGGAUCGACGUAAUGAUUAAUAGGGAUAGUUGGGGGCAUUAGUAUUCAAUUGUCAGAGGUGAAAUUCUUGGAUUUAUUGAAGACUAACUACUGCGAAAGCAUUUGCCAAGGAUGUUUUCAUUAAUCAAGAACGAAAGUUAGGGGAUCGAAGACGAUCAGAUACCGUCGUAGUCUUAACCAUAAACUAUGCCGACUAGGGAUCGGAUGAUGUUAAUUUUUUAAUGACUCAUUCGGCGCCUUACG